CCCUUAGAUGUCCUGGGCCGCACGCGUGCUACACUGACGCAUACAGCGAGUACUUCCCCGGCUCCGUGAGGCAGCCGGUAAUCAGCAAUAUGCGUCGUGAUGGGGAUAGAUCUUUGGAAUUCUGGAUCUUGAACGAGGAAUGCCUAGUAAGCGCAAGUCAUUAGCUUGCGCUGACUAAGUCCCUGCCCUUUGUACACCGCCCGUCGCUCCUACCGAUCGAAGAGUUAGGUGAAUUGUUUUGAUCGAUAAGAUUUGACUAUGGUCAACUCUCGUUGUGAAAUUCUGUGAAUCUGACUGUUUAGAGGAAGGAAAAGUCGUAACA
RNAcentral lists this ribosomal RNA (322 nucleotides) under uncultured eukaryote. RNAcentral's name for it is "partial 18S ribosomal RNA". It matches the Rfam family "Eukaryotic small subunit ribosomal RNA", at positions 1470 to 1796 of the family's 1831-position model. The record is from RNAcentral.